Molecule: small nucleolar RNA, 137 nt
Organism: Acipenser ruthenus (sterlet)
Lineage: Eukaryota; Metazoa; Chordata; Actinopteri; Acipenseriformes; Acipenseridae
Product: small nucleolar RNA SNORA42/SNORA80 family
Exons: 1
Source: RefSeq, a predicted model, not a curated record
GCAUGGCUUGAUUUGUGGUGGGAUCCAUUACAUGAUCCUUUCAUAGUGUACUCCAUGCUAGAUUAAAGGUGUAUCCUUAGCCAUUGACGGGCCUUGAUUUAAUGUAGGCCUGAUUCACUGAAGUGGGUAGCACAGAA